This 406-nucleotide ribosomal RNA is filed under the name uncultured bacterium. RNAcentral's name for it is "partial 16S ribosomal RNA". It matches the Rfam family "Bacterial small subunit ribosomal RNA", at positions 30 to 526 of the family's 1533-position model. The record is from RNAcentral.
AUUGAACGCUGGCGGCGUGCUUUACACAUGCAAGUCGGACGAGUGGCGAACGGGUGAGUAACGCCUCGGAACGUACCCAGUGAGGGGGGAUAACUGUUAGCAACGGCAGCUAAUACCGCAUAUUAUUAGAGCUGCCCAUGUUUGAUUAGCUGGUUGGCGGGGUAAAGGCCCACCAAGGCGACGAUCAGUAGCUGGUCUGAGAGGAUGAUCCGGCAAACUGGGAAUGGGACACGGCCCAGACUCCUCCGGUAGGCAGCAGGGGGGAAUGUUGGAAAAUGGGCGCAAGCCUGACUGAGCAACGGCGGGGGAGUGAAGAAGGUUUGCGGAUCGUAAAGCUCUGUUGUAAGAGAAGCGGUAUCUGACCAGAAAGGGACGGCUAACUACGUGCCAGCAGCCGCGGUAAUUC